Molecule: ribosomal RNA, 787 nt
Filed under: uncultured bacterium
Lineage: Bacteria
Description: bacterial SSU rRNA
Rfam family: Bacterial small subunit ribosomal RNA
Source: RNAcentral
AGAGUUUGAUCCUGGCUCAGGAUGAACGCUAGCGGCAGGCUUAACACAUGCAAGUCGAGGGGUAUAGUUCUUCGGAAUUAGAGACCGGCGCACGGGUGCGCAACGCGUAUGCAAUCUACCUUUUACAGAGGGAUAGCCCAGAGAAAUUUGGAUUAAUACCUCAUAGUAUAGUGAUACCGCAUGGUACUACUAUUAAAGUCACAACGGUAAAAGAUGAGCAUGCGUCCCAUUAGCUAGUUGGUAAGGUAACGGCUUACCAAGGCGACGAUGGGUAGGGGUCCUGAGAGGGAGAUCCCCCACACUGGUACUGAGACACGGACCAGACUCCUACGGGAGGCAGCAGUGAGGAAUAUUGGUCAAUGGGCGCAAGCCUGAACCAGCCAUGCCGCGUGCAGGAUGACGGUCCUAUGGAUUGUAAACUGCUUUUGUACAGGAAGAAACACUCGGACGUGUCCGAGCUUGACGGUACUGUAAGAAUAAGGAUCGGCUAACUCCGUGCCAGCAGCCGCGGUAAUACGGAGGAUCCAAGCGUUAUCCGGAAUCAUUGGGUUUAAAGGGUCCGUAGGCGGUUUAGUAAGUCAGUGGUGAAAGCCCAUCGCUCAACGGUGGAACGGCCAUUGAUACUGCUAGACUUGAAUUAUUAGGAAGUAACUAGAAUAUGUAGUGUAGCGGUGAAAUGCUUAGAGAUUACAUGGAAUACCAAUUGCGAAGGCAGGUUACUACUAAUGGAUUGACGCUGAUGGACGAAAGCGUGGGUAGCGAACAGGAUUAGAUACCCUAGUAGUCC